This 468-nucleotide ribosomal RNA is filed under the name uncultured bacterium. Its description in RNAcentral is "partial 16S ribosomal RNA". It matches the Rfam family "Bacterial small subunit ribosomal RNA", at positions 28 to 507 of the family's 1533-position model. The record is from RNAcentral.
GAUGAACGCUGGCGGCGUGCUUAACACAUGCAAGUCGAACGGAAAGGUCCUGAUCUUGUGGGGUGCUCGAGUGGCGAAGGGGUGAGUAACACGUGAGUAAACUGCCCUUGACUUUGGGAUAAAUUUAGGAAAAUGGGGCUAAUACCGGAUAGGAGCUCCUGCUGCAUGGUGGGGGUUGGAAAGUUUCGGCGGUUGGGGAUGGACUAGCGGCUUAUCAGCUUGUUGGUGGGGUAGUGGAUUACCAAGGUUUUGACGGGUAGCCGGCCUGAGAGGGUGACCGGCCACAUUGGGACUGAGAUACGGCCCAGACUCCUACGGGAGGCAGCAGUGGGGAAUAUUGCACAAUGGGCGGAAGCCUGAUGCAGCAACGCCGCGUGCGGGAUGACGGCCUUCGGGGUGUAAACCGCUUUCGCCUGAGACGAAGCGUGAGUGACGGUAAUGGGUAAAGAAGCACCGGCUAACUACGUG